UACGUAGGGUGCAAGCGUUGUCCGGAAUUAUUGGGCGUAAAGAGCUCGUAGGCGGUUUGUCGCGUCUGCUGUGAAAACCCGAGGCUCAACCUCGGGCCUGCAGUGGGUACGGGCAGACUAGAGUGCUGUAGGGGAGACUGGAAUUCCUGGUGUAGCGGUGAAAUGCGCAGAUAUCAGGAGGAACACCGGUGGCGAAGGCGGGUCGCUGGGCAGUGGCUGACGCUGAGGCGCGACAGCGUGGGGAGCAAACAGG
RNAcentral lists this ribosomal RNA (253 nucleotides) under uncultured bacterium. Its description in RNAcentral is "partial 16S ribosomal RNA". It matches the Rfam family "Bacterial small subunit ribosomal RNA", at positions 524 to 776 of the family's 1533-position model. The record is from RNAcentral.